UCUGCCUCCCUAACCUGUUCUUCCUCUCAGCCAUCCCUUCCUCCCACCCCAAGCCGCACCCCCAUCUACCUACUAACCUCAUCCCACCUCCUUGACCUGUCCGUCUUCCCUGGACUGACCUUUUCUCUCCUCUCCACCUUCGGUCCGCCUCCCCCUCUCUCCCUAUUUAUUCCAGUUCCCUCUCCCCGUCCCCCUCUCUGAUGAAGGGUCUAGGCCCGAAACGUCAGCUUUUGUGCUCCUGAGAUGCUGCUUGGCCUGCUGUGCUCAUCCAGCCUCACAUUUUAUUAUUUUAGGAGAGAGAGCUGUUUUGGUUUGUGAUACAAGAGACGAGGCUGCCUAUGCCUUUCACCCAUCGGUAGCUCUCCUCCUGUCCCUGCCUCUAUGCACACACUCUGCCAGGCAUAGUCUUCCUCCCUCUGUGUGUGUGUGUGUCUCUCUCGCUUCAGCUCCUAAAACCUAAGAUGCAUCGGAUAUAAAAACACGCACAUAAACACACACACACACACACACACAUCAACAAGCCAUGGAGAAAGAUCAGGAAUUACUGCAAGCUGUCAAAACCGAAGAUGUAGCUGCAAUGCAGAAGCUGUUGCAAAGGCCGAAACAAGGCAAAGCGAGACACAAUCAUUGCCUUGGAAGCUUCAUCAUGAUAGGACAUUGCAUUUCUGAAGAGGGAAGAAGAAAUCAACAGGCAAAUUCAAUUCCAUGGUUUUGGAAGUCCCAUUGAGAACACGAUUCAUGUGCGCUGGCAUAAUGCUCUGACCGAGAAAGAAUCGAAGCUUCCGCUUGGAAGAAAGAUUCACAUCAAGUUGACUGGUCAAGGAAAUGGGACACUGACUAACCAUACAAUUAGACUGUUUUGAUGAGGAACCUAAAGAUUACGAGUCCCGUCCGUUUGACUCAGAGUUUGGUACCAUAGGUUGGUACGAUCUUCGUUGGAGAAGGAAAAGGGAUGUUCCAGAUACAGAAAAUAGUCAAACCAUUUACUACAAAGUCCGUUUCUGGGUGGAGUUAGUGGAACCGAAAAAGAUGUCUCCCUCACAGCGUUUGUGACAAAAGAAUUGCAUUGUUCCUUGGCGGCCUUUCAACAGAAGAAUAUUCAGAGAUUUCACGAGUGAUUCUGAUGUUGGUUCCUGGAAAGCCUCCAUUGUUGGAGGACGAGAAGCCGUAUCCAAUUGAAGCAGCACAGGCUUCUGCGAUGACUGUGGAAACCACUGCUUAUGCCUUGCUUCAAGCAUUGUCAAGGAAUGAUAUUGACUAUGCAACACCGAUUGCGAGGUGGCUAACGAUGCAACAGAACUAUGGUGGUGGAUUUCACUCGACGCAGGACACAAUCAUUGCCUUGGAAGCUUCAUCACGAUACGACAUUGCAUUUCUGAAGAGGGAAGAAGAAAUCAACAUGCAAAUUCAAUUCCAUGGUUUUGGAAGUCCCAUUGAGAACACGAUUCAUUUGCGCCGGCAUAAUGCUCUGACCGAGAAAGAAUUGUGGUAAUUGCAUGACACUUUGACUGGUUCGUUGAGAGUGAGGAACCUAUGGACUCUCACACACCAAGAUGGAAUUUAGUUCGAAGAGUGACUUCAAAAUGUUCCGCAAGUUUUAGCGUAAACUGGUGGAGACUUUCGGUGCUUGCAAAAAGGCUCACCUCUCCGUUAAUACCGAAGGAAAAUGGGAGUUUAAAAAUGGUUGGAUAUUGGAUUCAAUUUAAAUGAGGAACCAUACGAUUAGACUGUUUUGAUGAGGAAUUUAAAGAUUACGAGCCGUGUCCGUUUGACUCACAGUUUGGUACCAUAGGUUGGUACGAUCUUCGUUGGAGAAGGAAAAGGGAUGUUCCAGAUCCAGAAAAUCGUCAAACCAUUUACUACAAAGUCCGUUUCUGGGUGGAGUUAGUGGAACCGAAAAAGAUGUCUCCCUCACAGCGUUUGUGACACAAGAAUUGCAUCGUUCCUUGGCGGCCUUUCAACAGAAGAAUAUUCAGAGAUUUCCCGAGUGACAACAUCAGGUGAAGAUGUGCGUGAUUUCAGCAAGGUGCUGAAAAAUAAGUUCAGAUCAAAGAAACACUUGCCAAACAUCCUCGCUUGAGUUAUUUACUAGU
Molecule: RNA transcript, 2093 nt
Organism: Stegostoma tigrinum
Lineage: Eukaryota; Metazoa; Chordata; Chondrichthyes; Orectolobiformes; Stegostomatidae
Gene name: complement C5-like
Exons: 13
Source: RefSeq, a predicted model, not a curated record